RNAcentral lists this long non-coding RNA (257 nucleotides) under Hordeum vulgare. Its description in RNAcentral is "long non-coding RNA (HVUL_LNC018819)". Lineage: Eukaryota; Viridiplantae; Streptophyta; Magnoliopsida; Poales; Poaceae. The record is from RNAcentral.
GACGACGAGUAGCUGGUGUCCCACCUACGAUUUGGCCCUAGGUUGGGUCUGUAGUAUAGUCAGCCCACGUGCCUUCUAGUUUCAUCUGUCUGUACUCAGACAGUUUAAUUACUUCCGCUGGCUUGUAACUUGAAUGACUGUUAUGAUGGGUCGUGAGACCCCUACUGUGUAAUAUUAUGUGUGUGGCUCUUCCGAGCCUCUUAAAUAAAGCUUGUAUGUUUAUGGUUAUGUUGUGAUGCCAUCGAGGUAUCUAUACA